UACGUAGGGUGCGAGCGUUAAUCGGAAUUACUGGGCGUAAAGCGUGCGCAGGCGGUUUUGUAAGCCAGAUGUGAAAUCCCCGGGCUUAACCUGGGAAUGGCAUUUGGAACUGCAAGGCUCGAGUGCGGCAGAGGAGACUGGAAUUCCUGGUGUAGCAGUGAAAUGCGUAGAUAUCAGGAGGAACACCGAUGGCGAAGGCAGGUCUCUGGGCUGACACUGACGCUCAUGCACGAAAGCGUGGGGAGCAAACAGG
This 253-nucleotide ribosomal RNA is filed under the name uncultured bacterium. RNAcentral describes it as "partial 16S ribosomal RNA". It matches the Rfam family "Bacterial small subunit ribosomal RNA", at positions 524 to 776 of the family's 1533-position model. The record is from RNAcentral.